CCUACGGGUGGCAGCAGUCGAGAAUCAUUCACAAUGGGGGAAACCCUGAUGGUGCGACGCCGCGUGGGGGAAUGAAGGAAGGUGGAUUGUAAACCCCUGUCAUGUGGGAGCAAAUUAAAAAGAUAGAACAACAAGAGGAAGAGAAGGAUAACUCUGUGCCAGCAGCCGCGGUAAUACAGAGGUCUCAAGCGUUGUUCGGAAUCACUGGGCGUAAAGCGUGCGGAGGCUGUUUCGUAAGUCGUGUGUGAAAGGCGCGGGCUCAACCCGCGGACGGCACAUGAUACUGCGAGACUAGAGUAAGGGAGGGGGAGCCGGAAUUCUCGGUGUAGCAGUGAAAUGCGUAGAUAUCGGGAGGAACACUCGUGGCGAAGGCGGGUUCCUGGACAGUAACUGACGCUGAGGCACGAAGGCCAGGGGAGCGAAAGGGAUUAGAUACCCUAGUAGUC
RNAcentral lists this ribosomal RNA (446 nucleotides) under uncultured bacterium. RNAcentral's name for it is "partial 16S ribosomal RNA". It matches the Rfam family "Bacterial small subunit ribosomal RNA", at positions 338 to 795 of the family's 1533-position model. The record is from RNAcentral.